RNAcentral lists this ribosomal RNA (2212 nucleotides) under Shigella sonnei. Its description in RNAcentral is "partial 23S ribosomal RNA". It matches the Rfam family "Bacterial large subunit ribosomal RNA", at positions 435 to 2632 of the family's 2925-position model. The record is from RNAcentral. Lineage: Bacteria; Pseudomonadati; Pseudomonadota; Gammaproteobacteria; Enterobacterales; Enterobacteriaceae.
UGUCUGAAUAUGGGGGGACCAUCCUCCAAGGCUAAAUACUCCUGACUGACCGAUAGUGAACCAGUACCGUGAGGGAAAGGCGAAAAGAACCCCGGCGAGGGGAGUGAAAAAGAACCUGAAACCGUGUACGUACAAGCAGUGGGAGCACGCUUAGGCGUGUGACUGCGUACCUUUUGUAUAAUGGGUCAGCGACUUAUAUUCUGUAGCAAGGUUAACCGAAUAGGGGAGCCGAAGGGAAACCGAGUCUUAACUGGGCGUUAAGUUGCAGGGUAUAGACCCGAAACCCGGUGAUCUAGCCAUGGGCAGGUUGAAGGUUGGGUAACACUAACUGGAGGACCGAACCGACUAAUGUUGAAAAAUUAGCGGAUGACUUGUGGCUGGGGGUGAAAGGCCAAUCAAACCGGGAGAUAGCUGGUUCUCCCCGAAAGCUAUUUAGGUAGCGCCUCGUGAAUUCAUCUCCGGGGGUAGAGCACUGUUUCGGCAAGGGGGUCAUCCCGACUUACCAACCCGAUGCAAACUGCGAAUACCGGAGAAUGUUAUCACGGGAGACACACGGCGGGUGCUAACGUCCGUCGUGAAGAGGGAAACAACCCAGACCGCCAGCUAAGGUCCCAAAGUCAUGGUUAAGUGGGAAACGAUGUGGGAAGGCCCAGACAGCCAGGAUGUUGGCUUAGAAGCAGCCAUCAUUUAAAGAAAGCGUAAUAGCUCACUGGUCGAGUCGGCCUGCGCGGAAGAUGUAACGGGGCUAAACCAUGCACCGAAGCUGCGGCAGCGACGCUUAUGCGUUGUUGGGUAGGGGAGCGUUCUGUAAGCCUGCGAAGGUGUGCUGUGAGGCAUGCUGGAGGUAUCAGAAGUGCGAAUGCUGACAUAAGUAACGAUAAAGCGGGUGAAAAGCCCGCUCGCCGGAAGACCAAGGGUUCCUGUCCAACGUUAAUCGGGGCAGGGUGAGUCGACCCCUAAGGCGAGGCCGAAAGGCGUAGUCGAUGGGAAACAGGUUAAUAUUCCUGUACUUGGUGUUACUGCGAAGGGGGGACGGAGAAGGCUAUGUUGGCCGGGCGACGGUUGUCCCGGUUUAAGCGUGUAGGCUGGUUUUCCAGGCAAAUCCGGAAAAUCAAGGCUGAGGCGUGAUGACGAGGCACUACGGUGCUGAAGCAACAAAUGCCCUGCUUCCAGGAAAAGCCUCUAAGCAUCAGGUAACAUCAAAUCGUACCCCAAACCGACACAGGUGGUCAGGUAGAGAAUACCAAGGCGCUUGAGAGAACUCGGGUGAAGGAACUAGGCAAAAUGGUGCCGUAACUUCGGGAGAAGGCACGCUGAUAUGUAGGUGAAGUCCCUUGCGGAUGGAGCUGAAAUCAGUCGAAGAUACCAGCUGGCUGCAACUGUUUAUUAAAAACACAGCACUGUGCAAACACGAAAGUGGACGUAUACGGUGUGACGCCUGCCCGGUGCCGGAAGGUUAAUUGAUGGGGUCAGCGCAAGCGAAGCUCUUGAUCGAAGCCCCGGUAAACGGCGGCCGUAACUAUAACGGUCCUAAGGUAGCGAAAUUCCUUGUCGGGUAAGUUCCGACCUGCACGAAUGGCGUAAUGAUGGCCAGGCUGUCUCCACCCGAGACUCAGUGAAAUUGAACUCGCUGUGAAGAUGCAGUGUACCCGCGGCAAGACGGAAAGACCCCGUGAACCUUUACUAUAGCUUGACACUGAACAUUGAGCCUUGAUGUGUAGGAUAGGUGGGAGGCUUUGAAGUGUGGACGCCAGUCUGCAUGGAGCCGGCCUUGAAAUACCACCCUUUAAUGUUUGAUGUUCUAACGUGGACCCGUGAUCCGGGUUGCGGACAGUGUCUGGUGGGUAGUUUGACUGGGGCGGUCUCCUCCUAAAGAGUAACGGAGGAGCACGAAGGUUGGCUAAUCCUGGUCGGACAUCAGGAGGUUAGUGCAAUGGCAUAAGCCAGCUUGACUGCGAGCGUGACGGCGCGAGCAGGUGCGAAAGCAGGUCAUAGUGAUCCGGUGGUUCUGAAUGGAAGGGCCAUCGCUCAACGGAUAAAAGGUACUCCGGGGAUAACAGGCUGAUACCGCCCAAGAGUUCAUAUCGACGGCGGUGUUUGGCACCUCGAUGUCGGCUCAUCACAUCCUGGGGCUGAAGUAGGUCCCAAGGGUAUGGCUGUUCGCCAUUUAAAGUGGUACGCGAGCUGGGUUUAGAACGUCGUGAGACAGUUC